This 24-nucleotide microRNA is filed under the name Solanum tuberosum (potato). Its description in RNAcentral is "stu-miR8000". Lineage: Eukaryota; Viridiplantae; Streptophyta; Magnoliopsida; Solanales; Solanaceae. The record is from miRBase by way of RNAcentral.
ACACCGAAGAACUGACACCGAAGA